UAUUAUACCUAAUUCUGUUAAUUAAUUGCAACAAUUUCAGGUCUUCUCGGUCGCCUGCAAGUAAAUGCAAACAAAUAUAAUAAUUACACUCUCAUAAAAAUCACGGCUUAUGAUCAGCAGUUGAAGACGCUCACCGAUUCAGAUGACGUGGAUAUAAUGAAACACAGCCACGGGCUGAACGACACUACUGAUGUGUUGGUGUCCCCUAAAGAUCGGAUGAAGAACCGUAUAUGGAGAAAAUCAAGAUCAAAAACAUGGAAGGAGAAGUGCUUUGGAGCAGAUAUCAAUCGGAAUUACGGCUUCAAGUGGGGUACUGGUGACGCUUCCCUCGAUCCCUGCAGCUUCCAAACAUACGCCGGCGAAAAGGCCUUCUCUGAACCCGAGACGAGACUAGUUCGUAAAGUUAUGAAGGAAAACUCUAAACGUAUAAAGCUGUAUUUGUCUAUACACUCAUACGGAGAAUAUGUUCUUCAUCCUUGGGGUUAUACAAAUAAUAGUUUUCCAGAUGAACGGAAAAAGUUACAUCGUCUUGCACAAAAAUAUUGUUGUGGUAAAAGCAGGAGGGCGGCAGUUUAAAAUCAUGAGCGCUGGACAAUUGUACGCGGCUGGCGGAGGAAGCUUCGACUACGCUUUUGCGGUGGAAAAGAUUCCAUAUUCGUAUGUUUUGGAAAUAACUAACGAAUUUAUCUUUCCAGAGAAGCUCUUGAGCACAGUUCUGCCACAGUAUUACAAAGGUUUAAAGAAAAUGGCUAAAAAAAUUAAACGGGAAUUCCCCAAUAAAGGCUGAAUAGAGUUACACCACGAAGAAACGAUAUCAAUAGCCCUCGCAGUGAAAGAAUGACAAUAACACUUGCACUGCGUGCGCGUGUGCACUGUGUGCAAAAUCGUUGCAGACUUCUCUUGGUCUAACUCUAACCAUUUAUUAUAGUUUUUUUUAGUUGUCUCAACAAUACUACCUAAAUUAUAUCUAUUUAGCAAACAUAUGAUUUGGUUUACGGUUUAUAUCACAGAGGUCUUGUUACACGAUCAUAUACAAACAUUAAAUUUACACCAUUGGCUCUGUGAGCUGUAGAUGUCGCGAUAAGCUUAAGAAAAUAAAUGUAACAGUGGACCUUAACGCCAGAGACCCUUACUUCCGCCAUUUAGAACAUUAUUUCCAAAAAUGAAAUGACAUCACAUCUAUCUAACUA
Cydia splendana is the source of this 1190-nucleotide long non-coding RNA. RefSeq lists it as uncharacterized. The record is from RefSeq and is a predicted model, not a curated record. Lineage: Eukaryota; Metazoa; Arthropoda; Insecta; Lepidoptera; Tortricidae. The transcript has 3 exons.